UGUAUGAUUGCUGGGUCAUAUGGUAGCUCUGUAUUUAACCUUUUGAGGAACUGGAAAACUUUUUUCUAAAGUAAUUGCAUCAUUUGCAUUUCCACCAGCAAU
Molecule: microRNA precursor, 102 nt
Filed under: Marmota monax (woodchuck)
Lineage: Eukaryota; Metazoa; Chordata; Mammalia; Rodentia; Sciuridae
Source: RNAcentral